GCUAAAUAAGAGCGUAUGGGGAAUGCCUAGGCUCUCAGAGGCGAUGAAGGACGUGAUAAGCUGCGAAAAGCUGCGGGGAUUGGCACAUACAAAUUGAUCCGCAGAUAUCCGAAUGGGGCAACCCGUCAUGUUGAAGACAUGUCAUCCGAAAGGAAGCGAACCCGGAGAACUGAAACAUCUAAGUACCCGGAGGAAGAGAAAACAAUCAAGUGAUUCCGCAAGUAGUGGCGAGCGAACGCGGAACAGCCCAAACCGCAUCCUACGGGGUGCGGGGUAGUAGGACCUGCGUAAUUCAAGUAAUCUUAAAUCGAAGCUGUCUGGAAAGCAGCGCCACAGAAGGU
This 341-nucleotide ribosomal RNA is filed under the name Conticribra weissflogii. RNAcentral describes it as "partial Bacterial large subunit ribosomal RNA". It matches the Rfam family "Bacterial large subunit ribosomal RNA", at positions 1 to 365 of the family's 2925-position model. The record is from RNAcentral. Lineage: Eukaryota; Bacillariophyta; Thalassiosirophyceae; Thalassiosirales; Thalassiosiraceae.